RNAcentral lists this ribosomal RNA (459 nucleotides) under uncultured bacterium. Its description in RNAcentral is "partial 16S ribosomal RNA". It matches the Rfam family "Bacterial small subunit ribosomal RNA", at positions 338 to 795 of the family's 1533-position model. The record is from RNAcentral.
CCUACGGGUGGCUGCAGUGAGGAAUAUUGGUCAAUGGGCGCGAGCCUGAACCAGCCAAGUCGCGUGAGGGAAGACGGUCCUAUGGAUUGUAAACCUCUUUUGUCGGGGAGCAAAAGACGCCACGCCUGGCGUUCCGAGAGUACCCGAAGAAAAAGCAUCGGCUAACUCCGUGCCAGCAGCCGCGGUAAUACGGAGGAUGCGAGCGUUAUCCGGAUUUAUUGGGUUGAAAGGGAGAGCCGGCGGAAGAUCAAGUCAGCGGUAAAAUUGAGAGGCUCAACCUCUUCGAGCCGUUGAAACUGGUUGUCUUGAGUGAGUGAGAAGUAUGCGGAAAGCGUGGGGUAGCGGUGAAAUGCAUAGAUAACACGCAGAACUCCGAUUGCGAAGGCCGCAUACCGGCGCUCAACUGACGCUCAUGCACGAAAGUGUGGGUAUCGAACAGGAUUAGAUACCCUAGUAGUC